RNAcentral lists this non-coding RNA (26 nucleotides) under Homo sapiens (human). The record is from RNAcentral. Lineage: Eukaryota; Metazoa; Chordata; Mammalia; Primates; Hominidae.
GGUAUGUAGAGUUGCCAAAUUCAUAG